This 440-nucleotide ribosomal RNA is filed under the name uncultured bacterium. RNAcentral describes it as "partial 16S ribosomal RNA". It matches the Rfam family "Bacterial small subunit ribosomal RNA", at positions 338 to 795 of the family's 1533-position model. The record is from RNAcentral.
CCUACGGGGUGCAGCAGUGGGGGAUAUUGUACAAUGGGGGGAACCCUGAUGCAGCGACGCCGCGUGGGUGAAGAAGCGCCUCGGCGCGUAAAGCCCUGUCAGCAGGGAAGAAAAUGACGGUACCUGAAGAAGAAGCCCCGGCUAACUACGUGCCAGCAGCCGCGGGAAUACGUAGGGGGCAAGCGUUAUCCGGAUUUACUGGGUGUAAAGGGGGCGCAGACGGCGAUGCAAGCCAGGAGUGAAAGCCCGGGGCCCAACCCCGGGACUUCUCUUGGAACUGCGUGGCUGGAGUGCAGGAGGGGCAGGCGGAAUUCCUGGUGUAGCGGUGAAAUGCGUAGAUAUCAGGAGGAACACCGGUGGCGAAGGCGGCCUGCUGGACUGCAACUGACGUUGAGGCCCGAAAGCGUGGGGAGCAAACAGGAUUAAAUACCCGAGUAGUC